CCUANGGGUGGCAGCAGUCGGGAAUUUUGGGCAAUGGGCGAAAGCCUGACCCAGCAACGCCGCGUGAAGGAUGAAGUAUUUCGGUAUGUAAACUUCGAAAGAAUAGGAAGAAUAAAUGACGGUACUAUUUAUAAGGUCCGGCUAACUACGUGCCAGCAGCCGCGGUAAUACGUAGGGACCAAGCGUUGUUCGGAUUUACUGGGCGUAAAGGGCGCGUAGGCGGCAAUUCAAGUCAUCUGUGAAAUCUCCGGGCUUAACUCGGAACGGUCAGAUGAUACUGCUUUGCUAGAGUGCGGAAGGGGCAAUCGGAAUUCUUGGUGUAGCGGUGAAAUGCGUAGAUAUCAAGAGGAACACCUGAGGUGAAGACGGGUUGCUGGGCCGACACUGACGCUGAGUGCGCGAAAGCCAGGGGAGCAAACGGGAUUAGAUACCCCGNUANUC
This 441-nucleotide ribosomal RNA is filed under the name uncultured bacterium. Its description in RNAcentral is "bacterial SSU rRNA". It matches the Rfam family "Bacterial small subunit ribosomal RNA", at positions 338 to 795 of the family's 1533-position model. The record is from RNAcentral.